Molecule: ribosomal RNA, 253 nt
Filed under: uncultured bacterium
Lineage: Bacteria
Description: partial 16S ribosomal RNA
Rfam family: Bacterial small subunit ribosomal RNA
Source: RNAcentral
GACGAACCGAGCGAACGUUGUUCGGAAUCACUGGGCUUAAAGGGCGCGUAGGCGGGUUGUCAAGUCUGGGGUGAAAUCCCACGGCUCAACCGUGGAACUGCCUUAGAUACUGACGGCCUCGAGGGAGAUAGGGGCGAGCGGAACUGUGAGUGGAGCGGUGAAAUGCGUUGAUAUUCACAGGAACUCCGGUGGCGAAGGCGGCUCGCUGGAUCGUGUCUGACGCUGAGGCGCGAAAGCUAGGGGAGCAAACGGG